GACGAACGCUGGCGGCGUGCUUAACACAUGCGAGUCGAACGGAAAGGCCCUGCUUUUGUGGGGUGCUCGAGUGGCGAACGGGUGAGUAACACGUGAGUAACCUGCCCCUGACUUUGGGAUAACUUCAGGAAACUGGGGCUAAUACCGGAUAGGAGCUCCUGCUGCAUGGUGGGGGUUGGAAAGUUUCGGCGGUUGGGGAUGGACUCGCGGCUUAUCAGCUUGUUGGUGGGGUAGUGGCUUACCAAGGCUUUGACGGGUAGCCGGCCUGAGAGGGUGACCGGCCACAUUGGGACUGAGAUACGGCCCAGACUCCUACGGGAGGCAGCGGUGGGGAAUAUGGCACAAUGGGCGGAAGCCUGAGGCAGCAACGCCGCGUGCGGGAUGACGGCCUUCGGGUUGUAAACCGCUUUCGCCUGUGACGAGGCGUGAGUGACGGUAAUGGGUAAAGAAGCACCGGCUAACUACGUG
Molecule: ribosomal RNA, 468 nt
Filed under: uncultured bacterium
Lineage: Bacteria
Description: partial 16S ribosomal RNA
Rfam family: Bacterial small subunit ribosomal RNA
Source: RNAcentral